ACCCUAUUCUAGCUUUUAAGGAACUUCCAGAACAGAUGCACAUACAGCACUAGAAGAGAACAUUUUCAGGACUGAAUAAGUACUGCUGGCAUUGAGCAUUCAGAGGAGGAAGCAGUCACUAUAGGCUGAGGUUUUGAGAGAGGCCUCACAGUGAAGAGUGACAGCUGAUUCAUGAAAGAAGGUAGACCUAGGAUGUGUCAUGGCCAGGAAAAAAGAACACAGGACUGGGUCUAGGAAUAAAACUGGUUUUGCCAUUCACUAGCUUGGUUUCUUUGAAAAUGAAGAUACAGAAAAAUAUAAAUCUGUCAACAUCUACUCUAAACAAAACAAAUUUGGUAUAAG
RNAcentral lists this long non-coding RNA (342 nucleotides) under Bos taurus (domestic cattle). Its description in RNAcentral is "long non-coding RNA NONBTAT011269". Lineage: Eukaryota; Metazoa; Chordata; Mammalia; Artiodactyla; Bovidae. The record is from RNAcentral.